GAUGAACGCUGGCGGCGUGCUUAACACAUGCAAGUCGAACGGAAAGGCUCCUGCUUGCAGGGGUACUCGAGUGGCGAACGGGUGAGUAACACGUGGGUGAUCUGCCCUGCACUUCGGGAUAAGCCUGGGAAACUGGGUCUAAUACCGGAUAGGACGAUGGUUUGGAUGCCAUUGUGGAAAGUUUUUUCGGUGUGGGAUGAGCUCGCGGCCUAUCAGCUUGUUGGUGGGGUAAUGGCCUACCAAGGCGUCGACGGGUAGCCGGCCUGAGAGGGUGUACGGCCACAUUGGUACUGAGAUACGGCCCAGACUCCUACGGGAGGCAGCAGUGGGGAAUAUUGCACAAUGAGCGCAAGCCUGAUGCAGCGACGCCGCGUGGGGGAUGACGGCCUUCGGGUUGUAAACUCCUUUCGCUAGGGACGAAGCGCAAGUGACGGUACCUGGAGAAGAAGCACCGGCUAACUACGUG
Molecule: ribosomal RNA, 466 nt
Filed under: uncultured bacterium
Lineage: Bacteria
Description: partial 16S ribosomal RNA
Rfam family: Bacterial small subunit ribosomal RNA
Source: RNAcentral